Drosophila melanogaster (fruit fly) is the source of this 290-nucleotide non-coding RNA. Lineage: Eukaryota; Metazoa; Arthropoda; Insecta; Diptera; Drosophilidae. The record is from Ensembl.
CCGGAUUUUACCAUUUGGGGCUGGGCUGUCGACAUGACGAGAACGACCGAGUAGAGUUCUGCUGAAUUUCAGGCGGCGAGAUUAGCCAGGCAAUUGUCUGCUUCUUCAUGCGUGUACCAAACUCAAGUGUCAGAAAAUUAAGAAGCCCAAUUAGAGACUGCCACCUGUCAGCAGUUCGUCAUUACCAUCCGAGAAUAUGACAUUUAUUCAUACGGCAGAGUGACGAGGCAGACGAAACGCACCAACGGUCGUGGUUUUUUCUGUGACAGUGCGAGAUGUUUUAUCCCAAG